This 352-nucleotide ribosomal RNA is filed under the name Aprostocetus sp. D0127. RNAcentral's name for it is "eukaryotic LSU rRNA". It matches the Rfam family "Eukaryotic large subunit ribosomal RNA", at positions 644 to 964 of the family's 3401-position model. The record is from RNAcentral. Lineage: Eukaryota; Metazoa; Arthropoda; Insecta; Hymenoptera; Eulophidae.
AGGACCCGUCUUGAAACACGGACCAAGGAGUCUAACAUGUGCGCGAGUCAUUGGGACUGUUAAGCCUAAAGGCGCAAUGAAAGUGAAAGUCGGCCUUGCGUCGACCGAGGGAGGAUGGUUCGCGUUACGAUGCGAACCCGCACUCCCGGGGCGUCUCGUGCUCAUUACGAGCAGAGGCGCACCCAGAGCGUACACGUUGGGACCCGAAAGAUGGUGAACUAUGCCUGGUCAGGACGAAGUCAGGGGAAACCCUGAUGGAGGUCCGUAGCGAUUCUGACGUGCAAAUCGAUCGUCGGAACUGGGUAUAGGGGCGAAAGACUAAUCGAACCAUCUAGUAGCUGGUUCCCUCCGA